RNAcentral lists this transfer RNA (65 nucleotides) under Dichoptera sp. WW-2021a. RNAcentral describes it as "tRNA-Thr". It matches the Rfam family "tRNA". Rfam says of the family: Transfer RNA (tRNA) molecules are approximately 80 nucleotides in length. Their secondary structure includes four short double-helical elements and three loops (D, anti-codon, and T loops). Further hydrogen bonds mediate the characteristic L-shaped molecular structure. tRNAs have two regions of fundamental functional importance: the anti-codon, which is responsible for specific mRNA codon recognition, and the 3' end, to which the tRNAs corresponding amino acid is attached (by aminoacyl-tRNA synthetases). tRNAs cope with the degeneracy of the genetic code in two manners: having more than one tRNA (with a specific anti-codon) for a particular amino acid; and 'wobble' base-pairing, i.e. permitting non-standard base-pairing at the 3rd anti-codon position. The record is from RNAcentral. Lineage: Eukaryota; Metazoa; Arthropoda; Insecta; Hemiptera; Fulgoridae.
GACAUGAUAGUUUAAAAAAAACAUUGGUCUUGUAAACCAAAAUUAAAUAACAAAAUUUCAAGUCA